RNAcentral lists this ribosomal RNA (974 nucleotides) under uncultured bacterium. RNAcentral's name for it is "bacterial SSU rRNA". It matches the Rfam family "Bacterial small subunit ribosomal RNA", at positions 505 to 1501 of the family's 1533-position model. The record is from RNAcentral.
GUGGCAGGGGCGGCGGUAAUACAGAGACCUCAAGCGUUAUCCGGAUUCAUUGGGCGUAAAGGGUCCGCAGGCGGUCCUAUAAGUCAUAUGUCAAAUCUUCGGGCUCAACCCGAAGACUGCGUACGAAACUGUAGGACUAGAGACUGGGAGAGGUACACGGAAUUGUCGGUGUAGCGGUAAAAUGCGUUAAUAUCGACAAGAACACCAAAGGCGAAGGCAGUGUACUGGAACAGAUCUGACGCUCAGGGACGAAAGCGUGGGUAGCGAAAGGGAUUAGAUACCCCUGUAGUCCACGCCCUAAACGAUGAGUGCUAGGUAUUGGGAGUUUCGACCCUCUCAGUGCCGUUGAACCAAGCUAACGCGUUAAGCACUCCGCCUGGGGAGUACGGCCGCAAGGCUAAAACUCAAAGGAAUAGACGGGGACCCGCACAAGCGGUGGAGCAUGUGGUUUAAUUCGACAUUAAGCGAGAUACCUUACCUGGGCUUGAACUAUAGCUGCAAACCUCCCGAAAGGGAGAUUCCUUCGAGGGUGCUAUAGAGGUGCUGCAUGGUUGUCGUCAGCUCGUGGCGUGAGCUGUUCCCUUAAGUGGGGUAACGAGCGCAACCCCUAUCCUGUGUUAUACUUUCGCAGGAGACUGCCUCCGUAAGGGGGAGGAAGGUGGGGACGACGUCAAAUCAGCAUGGCCCUUACGUCCAGGGCUACACACGUGCUACAAUGGCCGGUACAACGGGUUGCCAAACCGCAAGGUGGAGCUAAUCCCUUAAAGCCGGUCUCAGUUCGGAUUGAGGGCUGCAACUCGCCCUCAUGAAGCCGGAAUCGCUAGUAACGGCCGAUCAGCAACGCGGCCGUGAAUACGUUCUCGGGUCUUGUACUCACCGCCCGUCACGUCAAGAGAGUCGGAAACGCCCGAACGUCGCCGUAGGGCGGCGGAAGGUGGAAUCGAUGAUAGGGACGAAGUCGUAACAAGGUAACC